RNAcentral lists this long non-coding RNA (3372 nucleotides) under Triticum aestivum (bread wheat). RNAcentral's name for it is "long non-coding RNA (TAES_LNC009037)". Lineage: Eukaryota; Viridiplantae; Streptophyta; Magnoliopsida; Poales; Poaceae. The record is from RNAcentral.
CGGUCGGCGACCUUGGCGGACGCGGCGGCCGGGGCGGGGGCCGCGGCGGCGGGGGAGACGGCGCAGAAGGGGCGGGCGAGCGCGGGGGCGAGGUGGAGCGGGAGCCGGCGCAGGGCGCGCGCCGCGAUCGCCAUGGUAGGGUUCGGGGUGGGAGAUCUGGGGUGGGGAGGAGGGGGGCGAUGCGGACUGGGAAAUGGAGAGGGUGGAGGAGGUUGGGGGCGGACAGAAGGUGCCUGGGUCACUGCGGAGUGGGCCUCCCAGGCUUUGUGUGGAACUUUUGUGGGUCCUUCUGUCAGUGUGUACAAUGUGGGACAGCACCAUGUAUUUGGGAUCAAAUAGACAAAUGAUGUGAGGGUAAUUCUUGGUGCAAAAAAUACACACACUGCGAAUACGUUUUGAAUUAAACAAUACUACUUUAAAGUGCACCUUUAAUUUUUAUGGAUGAUGUUAGUUUAUGCUCAUGUUUGGAGUUUUACAAACAAGUCUUGUGAUUCGAGGUCUGAGAGAUAGUUGUGGCAUUGGGAGUUUUAUCUUGCACAGUAAUAAACAACAAUGUAACAUCACUUUCUCGUGUUCAUUUUCCUUUUUCAUGACCUUAUUUCCCCAGAACGAGUGCAUGCACUCAGCUCUUAGUGGUUAUUCUCCGUAUAAAAUGUAUAUUCAAACAUAUUGGACAUCACUCUUAGGGGAGAAGACAUGCUUCAUUGUAAUAAAGGUAAUAAACAACGAUAAAAGAACAAAAGAAAAUUGGUGUUGGUACUAAAUAUUAAAUCAACAUUAUUUUUUAUUUGUCAUUUUCUCAGGUCAAUUACAAAGUACAUGCCUUCUCAUUUUAUCACUGACAUAUACAACAAUAAAAAUUGAAAUAUAUUAAUCCUAAAGAGGCGAAACACUAUAUAACAUCUAGUAUCAUCGAGACAAUGGACAUGCAUCUUUCAUCACCCCACACUUCCAGCGUGGAACAUCCGCAGACCCGAAGAACAAGGUGGUCUUGGAGUACUAAAUCUCAUGGCCCGCAAAUACUACAUUCUUGCUGAAAAUUUUACACAAGCUCUACAAUCAUGAAGAUAUUGCAUGGGUUCAACUUAUAUGUAAAGCCUACUACAAAAGUCCUCCUCCCCAUGCUACCAGAAAUGUUGGCUCAUUUUGGUGGAGAGGUUGUCUCAAUCUUAUUGACACUUUCAUGGGAAUCGUAUCAUGUCAAGUUAACUCUGGUAACACUAUGUGAUGUAGGCUCAUGCCCUUGUUUGCCCGAUCUUCACGAAUUGGAGGUGGAUGUGAGGAAGAACACAAGGGGGAAUCACGCAAUAGGACACUAUUGGACAAGGUCCACACACAAGCACUCAAAUCACAAGACAAGGGGAGGGAUCUCAAGCAUCCAACAACAACAAAGGAAAAGAUACAAAUGGUAGUUCAUCUAAAACUCAAAGAGAAAUGGGUCUUAAGUUCCAUGGAGGAAUCUUCUCCUAAGAGGCCUUGACAACCAUACAUGGUUCUUCCCCUAAGGGGUCUUGACAACCAUAAAUGGUUCUUCUCUUAAGAGGAGUCCGACAUGAGGAGAUAUAUGAACUAAGCUCUAUAGUUUUGGUCCUAAUCUUAGAUGACCCUAAAUCUAAGGUGGGUGAAGGGAAUAUAUAUAGGUCCUGCCAUGAAAAGGUAAGUGAGGAGGGGAUACAUGGGCUUGGCCCAACUCAGUGCACGCAAGUACGAGUUGGAGGUUUCGACAUGUCGAACACUCCGAGGUAAUUUCUAGGCAAUGUCCGACAUGGACGAGAGCUCGGGGUAUGUCGGAGGUUAAGUUCGACUGUCCAAGUUUCCUGCAAGUUGUAGGUUGGCUUCUUCCUUGUGAUUCCUUCUUUGCUUCCAAGCUUCCCUCUUGGAUGGUGUAGUUGUUCUAUUGCACCUGAAGUCCUCCUCGUCAUCCGUGAAGCUCCGCUCAAACCUAUACAUGCACAAUGGAGGGUCAAGUAGUAUACCAUCAUUGAAGGGGACAAAAAGACACGUGUAAAGGAGAAGAUACAUUUUUAUAUGUUCGAGUAGAUGUUGCAUGUGUUUCUUGACAUGGUGAUGUCCAUAGGAUACUCCGCAUCACUAUGCCCUUGUGGCAAGACAUGGAAUAGUAAUAUCAUGCACAGAACUUUUUUACGGCUCACACUUUUGCAAAAAAAAUGAUAACAUAUCCAUGCAACAAUCUAUGAAGAUGAUUUCAAACAAUACUAGCAAAAGAUCCCAUGUGUUGCAACGGGAGUGAAAAUAACACAUGCUCUUAGCCCAAUAACCAUGACUCAUGACCUUAAUAGGUCCAUGUCCAUUAUUUCAACAUAGCAUCACAUUUGUGUUGCCGACGGUGGCCUCGGUGCUCACAGAAUGAAAACACGUUUGAUUGUGGUUAGUCCUAAGGCCUCUCUCUCUCUCUCUCUCUCUCUCUCUCUCUCUCUCUCUCUCUCUCUCUCUCUUGCGCGCGCGCGCAAGCGCACUCGCUCGAAAUAAGAUGAAAAAUAUGUUGUCUUUCCCUGAUUGGUUUUUCAGAGGUGUGCAUGCAUGGUUAUCGAUGUUUUCUUUCCUCUCAAUCUGGUUUUAAUGAGUGUUUAUUUGCAAUUCGGUCAUCGUCGGUAUGAAAGAAAAAGAAAUUGUGCAUUAUAGAUUAAGUUUGCACCCAAAAAAAUAUUUUAGGAAUAUGUAACAGCUAAAAAUAACAUCAUAUUUGGAUUCUACAUAUUUUUCUAAUCAAAUUUAAUAUAUAACAUGUUGAAAUUGGAGUUGUGGUUUAAAAGAUAUGGAUGAUUUAAAAAAUCAUUAUUUUAGAUAAACUGUGGAUUGCUUAAUCAAAAAAAUCAGGGGGGGUCUAUUAAAACGCAAAAUAAAAAUGAUUCCUCUCACUUAAAUAUGAACUCCGGGUUGACUACCUGAAACAGUCAUGGGGUUUUCUGAGAAAAUGCAAAAAAUGGUUCAGCUGGUGAAAGUGCGUUAUAUUGACUAGAGGGGGGUGAAUAGGCGAUUUUUAUGAAUUCUUCACUGAGGAAUUUCAGGGUGAGGAAACUCUUGAGUGAAGAACUACUUGCAGCGGAAUAAGAGCAUCUCCAGCCGUUCGCCCACCCCCNNNNNNNNNNNNNNNNNNNNNNNNNNNNNNNNNNNNNNNNNNNNNNNNNNNNNNNNNNNNNNNNNNNNNNNNNNNNNNNNNNNNNNNNNNNNNNNNNNNNCAGAAGGGGCGGGCGAGCGCGGGGGCGAGGUGGAGCGGGAGCCGGCGCAGGGCGCGCGCCGCGAUCGCCAUGGUAGGGUUCGGGGUGGGAGAUCUGGGGUGGGGAGGAGGGGGGCGAUGCGGACUGGGAAAUGGAGAGGGGGGAGGAGGUUGGGGGCGGAGAGAAGGUGCCU